GGAAAAUUUAGGAGCUUCAGGAAAAUAUAAAGAAAAUUAAGGAAGUCAUCUCGCUUCUCAAAUACCGUGUUAAUUUGGGAGAGCACCUGCCAGGCAGCAGUGUCGCUCAGCUUAUGCGCAGCCAGCUUGGGGACUACAGCAGCUCAUCCUAACAAGAGACCAGAACUUCAGGCUGGUCUGAGGCAUGUGCCCACCUCUGGGUCACACGUCAUUCUUGAAGCAGUGGGCAAGUCAAAUAUCCCCACCCCUCCUGCACAGAAAAGGGGAGGAUCCCAAGAAGAGAAUGUGGGGGCUGCCUCCAGGAGGAGAAGAAAGACUUGUGGGUCCACUGCAGACAUCCAGGUGGAGAUGUCUGGAGCCCAGGGGUCGGGUAAGAGCUACAGCCAGGUUGGGGUUAUUGUGGGAGGAGCCGUAGGAGUGAAUGAGAUCAGGAAAGGUGGCCGGGGUAGACCUAGGACCUAGGGACCUAGGAAAGAGACAGACACGCUGGGGAAGAAGCGUCAGAGGACAGAGGGUGAGACGCUUGAAAAGGAAGUGGGCGAGAACAGUGUUGCCUAAAAAGAGGGAGCCCAGUUCCCUGAAGGUGAGGGUGAAGACAGGCCAUUGGGCUGAGACGAUGGGCAAAGGGCAGGGUGUGGGCAGAGCUGGUUUGGGACCCAGAGCAGUGGAAGGGCAGAGCAGCCCUUGCCGAGACCAAGGGACAGCAGGGCUGAAUGACCGCAAUGCAGCACCCGCUUCGCUUUGCAAAUAAAAUGCGGACUGCGCGAGAAAGCCUGGCUUUUAGCGUCCAUGCGUGUCCAGGAACAGCGACCAGGGCAAGUGCUUGAGUGCGCCAGGCUGGGCGAGGCAGGGAGGGACUGAGGGCUGGGUCCGGGGGAGAGGAGUGGCCAGGGAGGAGGGGCGACCCAAAGGCCUCCGGUGAUGCGCUGACAGAAGGUAAAAACAAGGAACAAAGCAAAACCACACACAGGACGGCAGCGCGGAGUCCGGGCCCUGCCCUCUGCAGCAGCGCAGCCCGGGGACUCUGGGGCUCUCCCUGCUGCCUGUGGAAUUUCCAGGCCAGCGCAUCUGAUUGGCCUGGCCUGGGGCAGUGGGUGGGGAUUUGGAUGUUUCCAGAGAAGGGAAGAUGGCGGUGAGACAGCCGCUCGGCAGCUCCAGAGGGGUCGAUCCCGCGACAGGGGAAGGGGGCGUGGGCGUCACAUGGCAGCGCUGAGACUUGAGUGCUGGAACAGCCCAGCGAGGAAGGUCCCAAAGACAGCUCUUUUCACCAGAGACAGGCCGUGCGUUUGCGGUGCGGGCUCCACCCGCAGUUCUGCUUCAGCCACGCCCUGUGGUGACCACGCCCACAGACGGCCCUGGUGACCUCGCCGACAGAUGGGCACGACCUUGAAUGGCUCUGCUUUUGAUAGUCACGCCCCUUGUAGCCAUGUCCUGUGAUGGCCACACCCACCAAUGAGCAUGCCCUCAGGUGACCACUCUCAGACACCCUGGGAUCCAGCUGCCCUCACACCCCCGGGGCAUGCCUGGGCACACCUGUCCUCUCUUUGGCCCUCCCCUAAAAAGCCCUCCAAAUCCUAAAUCCUUCUUCCAAAUCCUGUUCUGCUGCUUCAGUCUCACCACCUCCUUGAGGCCCCCUGUGACUACCCCAGCUCUCUGGUGUUCACUCGCUUGGUUCCUACGAUACAUUGGAGCACAUUUGCCUUUUUAAAAAUAAGCUGAGCUGUCUCCACAGCUAGAUUU
Molecule: long non-coding RNA, 1740 nt
Filed under: Homo sapiens (human)
Lineage: Eukaryota; Metazoa; Chordata; Mammalia; Primates; Hominidae
Description: HSALNT0100842
Source: RNAcentral